GUACUUACCUGGUAGAGGAAACACCGUAAUCAGAAAGGUGGUUUUCCCAGGCUGAGGCACAUCCAUUGCACUUUGGGAUGUGCUGACCCCUGCAAUUUCCCCAAAUGUGGGAAACUCCACUGCAUAAUUUGUGGUUUGUGCUUUCCCAAGUUAAAA
RNAcentral lists this small nuclear RNA (156 nucleotides) under Nannospalax galili (Upper Galilee mountains blind mole rat). Its description in RNAcentral is "U1 spliceosomal RNA (ENSNGAG00000004488.1)". It matches the Rfam family "U1 spliceosomal RNA". From Rfam's summary of the family: U1 is a small nuclear RNA (snRNA) component of the spliceosome (involved in pre-mRNA splicing). Its 5' end forms complementary base pairs with the 5' splice junction, thus defining the 5' donor site of an intron. There are significant differences in sequence and secondary structure between metazoan and yeast U1 snRNAs, the latter being much longer (568 nucleotides as compared to 164 nucleotides in human). The record is from RNAcentral. Lineage: Eukaryota; Metazoa; Chordata; Mammalia; Rodentia; Spalacidae.